RNAcentral lists this ribosomal RNA (434 nucleotides) under uncultured bacterium. RNAcentral's name for it is "bacterial SSU rRNA". It matches the Rfam family "Bacterial small subunit ribosomal RNA", at positions 392 to 826 of the family's 1533-position model. The record is from RNAcentral.
CCAUGUCGCGUGAAGGAAGACUGCCCUAUGGGUUGUAACUUCUUUUGUAUGGGAAGAAAUGUAUCUACGUGUAGAUAUUUGCCGGUACCAUACGAAUAAGCAUCGGCUAACUCCGUGCCAGCAGCCGCGGUAAUACGGAGGAUGCAAGCGUUAUCCGGAUUCAUUGGGUUUAAAGGGUGCGUAGGCGGAUUAAUAAGUCAGGGGUGAAAGUUUGCGGCUCAACCGUAAAAUUGCCUUUGAUACUGUUAAUCUUGAGUACAUUUGAGGUAGGCGGAAUGUGUUGUGUAGCGGUGAAAUGCUUAGAUAUAACACAGAACACCGAUUGCGAAGGCAGCUUACUAAACUGUAACUGACGCUGAGGCACGAAAGCGUGGGUAUCGAACAGGAUUAGAUACCCUGGUAGCCACGCCGUAACGAUGAUUACUAGUUGUUUG